This is a long non-coding RNA of Amphiprion ocellaris (clown anemonefish), 565 nucleotides long. RefSeq lists it as uncharacterized. The record is from RefSeq and is a predicted model, not a curated record. The transcript is spliced from 2 exons. Lineage: Eukaryota; Metazoa; Chordata; Actinopteri; Pomacentridae.
GGAACUUUAACGUUAGCUUGUGAUGACUCCCACUCAGACACAAACACACGUGUUUACACAGCUGCUCCGAACAACUCGUGCUACCAAGGUUCCCCUGUACUAACAAAAAACCCAGUGUCGUGGCUGUUAUAUGACUGCAUGGAAAAGAAAGGGACUCGCAAAAGUUUGUCUCUUUAGAUACACACUACCGCCCUGGAGGCAUCUGCUUGGUCCCAGAUUCAAUCUGCAACAUGAAACAACUACCCCAAACUUACAACCAAAGUCAUAGAGAACUACCUUAUGCCACAAGAAGAACAAGGACUCCUGCAACAGAUGGUGAAGCCCCUACAGAGCCUUGAUCUCAGCGUGAAUCAGUCUGGGGUUGCAUGAAGAGACGGAAGCAACUGAAUCAGCCUAAAUCCACGGGACUGUGGGGUGUGGACGCUUUUAACAACCUACCUGCUAAGUACAUUGAAAAGCUGUGCACAACACAUAUAAAGUGUGAUUACACCUGAUACUGACUUAUAUUGUUUAUUUACUGGUCUUUGUACAAAUGUAAGUGAUAAAUAAAUACUAUUUGUCAUUA